AACUUACCAGGUCAAGACAUGGGCGUGAUUGACAGGCUAAUGACUUUUCUCGAUUCCAUGGAUGGUGGUGCAUGGUCGCACUUAGUUGGUGCAGUGAUUUGUCAGGUUUAUUCCGGUAACGAACGAGACCUCGGCCUUGUAAAUAGCUAUGCUGCUUACAGGGACAUUGGCGGCUACGCCAAGGAAGCUCGAGGCAAUUGCAGAUCUGGAAUGCCCUUAGAUGUCCUGGGUCGCACGCGUGCUACAAUGACGCCACGAACGAGCUUGCGUGAUGAAAGUUACGCAUAAUCAGCAGUCGGCGUCUUAAGGGAUAGUCUCUUGUAACUGUGGGACUCCAACUAGGAAUGUCUCGUAAGCACAAGUCAACAUCUUGUGUUGAUUACGUCCCUGCUCUUUGUACACACCGCCCGUCGCUCCUACCGAUCGAGUGUUUAGGUGAAUUUGAUGGACGUAAGGAAGUCAAAUAAACCUGAGCACUAGAGAAGAGAAGUCUACAUGCC
Molecule: ribosomal RNA, 500 nt
Filed under: uncultured Myrionecta
Lineage: Eukaryota; Ciliophora; Litostomatea; Cyclotrichida; Mesodiniidae
Description: bacterial SSU rRNA
Rfam family: Eukaryotic small subunit ribosomal RNA
Source: RNAcentral